AGACAGAGGUGGCAAGCGUUGUUCGGAAUUACUGGGCGUAAAGGGCGCGCAGGCGGUUCGCCAAGUCUCGUGUGAAAUCCCCCGGCUCAACUGGGGAACUGCGCGGGAAACUAGUGGACUUGAGUUCGGGAGAGGAAAGCGGAAUUCCGGGUGUAGCGGUGAAAUGCGCAGAUAUCCGGAGGAACACCAGUGGCGAAGGCGGCUUUCUGGACCGACACUGACGCUGAGGCGCGAAAGCUAGGGGAGCGAACGGGAUUAGAAACCCCAGUAGUCC
RNAcentral lists this ribosomal RNA (274 nucleotides) under uncultured bacterium. Its description in RNAcentral is "partial 16S ribosomal RNA". It matches the Rfam family "Bacterial small subunit ribosomal RNA", at positions 523 to 796 of the family's 1533-position model. The record is from RNAcentral.